UGUGAAUAACACCAGUUCAUUUCCAUUAGUUACAUCAUUAACAAGUCUCCAAAACAGUAUAUUGUAUAAUCAUAGUUAAAGUGGAACAGAUAGUACGAUUACAUCAUGUUUAGUUUAACCUUCCCAAAAACAGAUACAACCCACACCAUGUAUACAGAGCCUCUAAUAGAACUAAAAGAGUGCUACGACUGUGCCGGCAAUAAGGCCCCGACUAUAUACCUCAAACACAAUGUACAAAGGACAAGAGAUACUGGACCCCGAAAUGAAGUGGGUCUCACCAAGUUAGCUGAGGAGAGGGUGUGCUGCUAUCACUGAUCAGUACCACCUGCUAUGGAACCACCUAUAUACAUUAAAGAUGCAGCGCCCCCGGCAAAAAGGACGUUAGUACAUAUGGAAUUGUACUAGUAUGUAAUUCUAAACACCUUCUCAAUAGAACGAGUAACAACAAACGGAGAAAGAAACAUGAAAUCAAUAAAAGAAUCAAAUAGUAUCAAGGUGUCAAGUUAGGGGAAAGGCAAAUUUCAAGUAAGUUCCAAUAUUUUUAAGUUGGGAGAUAUUUAGCACCGAUACACCACCGUGUUUUAGCACGGAGUCCGAUCUCAGUCCGACCGGCUAAGCUGUCUCACCCUGAGACAUCCACUCACAAUACCACCAUAUAUGCGGCAUGGCAUCCGAUCUCAUCCCGACCUGCUAAGCCGUCUUGCCACAAUGCCGUGUGGGUCGACAUCACAUCAUAUCUCGCUAGCAACAAUCUUAUUCCAUAUAAGGGAAAACAUCUCAACACAUCAAUCUCAUCCCAUUUAAGGGAAAACAAUCUCAUCAUAUUAACAAGGGGAUUUACCGCUCAAUCACUCAUAUACCGUCACGUGUAGUUUUGGGGUUAGGUUAUUAUGACCUACCCUUACUCGGUGGCUAAUCGAUACUCCUAAAGCAUUUACUAUUAGAAGGAUUUACCACAUAUUUCGUAAUAUUUUUCAUAUCAUUCAUUUCCUUGGCACCAAUGGCCAUGACGCAAUAUCAUUCUUGGCACGUUGGCCGCACAUCAUAUUUCAUGUUCUCUUCUUACACUUUAAAAUAUCAUCAUGGAUAAUCAAAAACAAGGCCUUUCAAAUUAAGACUUUAAACACAUAUUUGAGCAAUUUAGGGUCUUAGGAACAUGUGAUUUCUUACACAAUUCGACAUUAUAGCUUUCAUUAGAAACACGUUUUAAAUCAUAACAUAAUAACAUACAGCCCAUACUUAAACCACAUUCUCAAACAGUAACUCAACAUAACAAGAAUAUUUAGAACACAUAUUGAACGCACAUUUAUUUUAACAGAAGGCUUAUUUGGAAUAAUCAAUUUAUAAGGAGCAUCACGAGACUUACAAGGCCGUUGUGGGGUUCAAUUAUAAAAGAGGAGUUUAGCCAACAUACCUCGCUUUGAGCUUUCCUUAAUUCACUACACAGUUCCGAAAAUCCUAGCAACUUUGAUCUAUUCAGAGAUAUGGCAAAAUUGAAUACAAAUUAGGAAGAAGUUCAUGUUUCAAGCUCAUUUGAGUAUUUUAUCGAACACUAGGUGGGCAUUAUUAUUUCUAGCUUCUCCUAUGGAGGAUUUCCUUCACCCCACAACCUAAGGUCUACCCAUUUGAGUUCAACUACCUUCCCACAACUCAUGAAUGUACAUGCAUGUAUAAAAAGUAACUCUCAUCCUCAAAACAUUCCUCUCCAUUACCUAUUCCCAAAUAAAAUUUCGAAAUUGAGGGUUAGGGCUAGAAUCUUACCUCUUGGUUGAAUACCUUGUGAGCUUUCUUGUUGAAUUUCAAGUCCUAAGCAAGAUUUUUGAGGAACAAUUAGCUUAGGGAUUUCACCUCUCACUCUAAGGCACUCCCUCUCUCUAGAAAUACCAGAUAUCCCCUUCAGAAAUGGUCCCUUACGUCUAAUUAUCGAGAUAGGGCCGGGUUAAAAAGAUAGAAAAAAUAAAGCCCCGUUGCAGAUCUGUUGUAGUAUAUGUGACCGCAUAACGCUUCAACGGUCCGCCGAAUGGACCGCAUGAUGGCCCUCCGGAAUUGACCGGUCUGCGGUCGCAUAAUGCACCGCAAAACUUUCCUCCAGAAAGUUUUGUAUUGGAUCUGCGAUGGGUUGUUUGGCCUGCAAAAUUAUCAUGCGGCUUCAUAAUGGUCUAAAUAUUUUUUCCAAAUUUCUGCUUCAGUCUGCGGCAGAUCUGCUAUCCGCAGAUUAGUUAUGCGACCGCAGAAUGGACUGUAGAAAUGUCCUGCAACUCAAAAAGUCCGAACCGUAUGCAUAAGUCUACUUUGGCACCGUGAAACCCCGGGUUUUAGGUAAACCUUUACGGGGCCUUACAGAGGUAACACAAAUCCGAAAAUAAAUUUGCCACCGGAAGGAAACACACAAGAACAUGAUCAAGUUUUUAUCAAGGAAGACUUAGGACUAUUCAAUCAUGCGAUACGAGGAUCAUUUCAAAAGAAGCAUCUACAUCAAGUCAUGUCAGGAAGGAAAAUAAUACUACAUACCUUAUUGAAGAUACUAAUUGCACUCCCCAGAUUCUUACAUGUUCUAUGGUGAUUAUCUUUAAGCACAAGAAUUCCUUCUCAGUUUUGAGAUUUCUUCACUUUCAAGGAGUCUCUAACAGCAACACAACAAGAAAUAGGAUUGAUGAGAUGAUGAUCAUGCGAUUCUUCACAUUAACUUCACUAGGUUCAUUUUUGAUUUAGCCUUGGAUCAUAUGAGGAUUUAUAGAGAGAGUUCUGGAAUUAUUUUGAGAGAGUUUUGAGCUGACGAAUCCUG
Molecule: long non-coding RNA, 2785 nt
Filed under: Nicotiana tabacum (common tobacco)
Lineage: Eukaryota; Viridiplantae; Streptophyta; Magnoliopsida; Solanales; Solanaceae
Description: long non-coding RNA (NTAB_LNC019061)
Source: RNAcentral